GAUGAAGAACGUAGCGAAAUGCGAUAACUAAUGUGAAUUGCAGAAUUCAGUGAAUCAUCGAGUCUUUAAACGCACAUUGCGCCCCCUGGUAUUCCGGGGGGCAUGCCUGUCCGAGCGUCAUUGCUGCCCUCAAGCACGGCUUGUGUGUUGGGCUCCGUCCCCCCGGGGACGGGCCCGAAAGGCAGCGGCGGCACCGAGUCCGGUCCUCGAGCGUAUGGGGCUUUGUCACCCGCUCUGUAGGCCCGGCCGGCGCCAGCCGACAACCCAUCAUCCUUUUCAGGUUGACCUCGGAUCAGGUAGGGAUACCCGCUGAACUUAAGCAUAUCAAUAAGCGGAGGA
This 339-nucleotide unclassified non-coding RNA is filed under the name soil metagenome. RNAcentral's name for it is "partial contains 5.8S ribosomal RNA, internal transcribed spacer 2, and large subunit ribosomal RNA". The stretch from base 1 to 120 matches the Rfam family "5.8S ribosomal RNA", at positions 35 to 154 of the family's 154-position model. The record is from RNAcentral.